CUACGGGGGGCUCCAGUGAGGAAUAUUGCACAAUGGGGGGAACCCUGAUGGAGCAACGCCGCGUGGAGGAUGACGCAUUUCGGUGUGUAAACUCCUUUUAUAUGUCAAGAAAAUGACGGUAGCAUAUGAAUAAGCACCGGCUAACUCCGUGCCAGCAGCCGCGGUAAUACGGAGGGUGCAAGCGUGACUCGGAAUCACUGGGCGUAAAGGACGCGUAGGCGGGUUGGAAAGUCAGGUGUGAAAUCCUACAGCUUAACUGUAGAGCUGCACUUGAAACUUCUAAUCUAGAGUAUGGGAGGGGGAGAUGGAAUUAGUGGUGUAGGGGUAAAAUCCGUAGAUAUCACUAGGAAUACCUAAAGCGAAGGCGAUCUCCUGGAACAUUACUGACGCUAAGGCGUGAAAGCGUGGGGAGCAAACAGGAUUAGAUACCCCUGUAGUC
RNAcentral lists this ribosomal RNA (439 nucleotides) under uncultured bacterium. Its description in RNAcentral is "partial 16S ribosomal RNA". It matches the Rfam family "Bacterial small subunit ribosomal RNA", at positions 339 to 795 of the family's 1533-position model. The record is from RNAcentral.